This 63-nucleotide transfer RNA is filed under the name Vanhornia eucnemidarum. Its description in RNAcentral is "tRNA-Asn". Lineage: Eukaryota; Metazoa; Arthropoda; Insecta; Hymenoptera; Vanhorniidae. The record is from RNAcentral.
UUAAUUGAAACCAAAAAAGGUAAAUUAUUGUUAAUAAUUCUAUUGAUUAAUAAUCAAAUUAAA